UACGUAGGGGGCAAGCGUUGUCCGGAUUUAUUGGGCGUAAAGAGCGUGUAGGCGGCCAGACAAGUCUGCCGUGAAAACUCGAGGCUCAACCUCGAGCUGUCGGCGGAAACUGUCUGGCUAGAGUCCGGAAGAGGAGAGUGGAAUUCCUGGUGUAGCGGUGAAAUGCGCAGAUAUCAGGAAGAACACCUAUGGCGAAGGCAGCUCGCUGGGACGGUACUGACGCUGAGACGCGAAAGCGUGGGGAGCAAACAGG
Molecule: ribosomal RNA, 253 nt
Filed under: uncultured bacterium
Lineage: Bacteria
Description: partial 16S ribosomal RNA
Rfam family: Bacterial small subunit ribosomal RNA
Source: RNAcentral